UACGAAGGGGGCUAGCGUUGUUCGGAGUUACUGGGCGUAAAGGGCGCGUAGGCGGCCCUCCAAGUCGGGUGUGAAAGCCCACGGCUCAACCGUGGAAUUGCACUCGAGACUGAAGGGCUCGAGGACGAGAGGAUGGCGGAAUUCCCAGUGUAGAGGUGAAAUUCGUAGAUAUUGGGAAGAACACCGGUGGCGAAGGCGGCCAUCUGGACCGUAUCUGACGCUGAGGCGCGAAAGCGUGGGGAGCAAACAGG
Molecule: ribosomal RNA, 251 nt
Filed under: uncultured bacterium
Lineage: Bacteria
Description: partial 16S ribosomal RNA
Rfam family: Bacterial small subunit ribosomal RNA
Source: RNAcentral